Cyprinus carpio (common carp) is the source of this 2040-nucleotide long non-coding RNA. RefSeq lists it as uncharacterized. NCBI's taxonomy places the organism in Eukaryota, Metazoa, Chordata, Actinopteri, Cypriniformes, Cyprinidae. The record is from RefSeq and is a predicted model, not a curated record.
UUUGGAGUGUGUUCAGUGAGGGAGUUCUAUAGACAGGACAGUGAGGAGAGCGCCUGAGGAGCAUGUACACACACACAAGUAGAGUGCUGCUGGGACCGACGCUUUUCCCCAGACGCUCCACAUGGACACAGUAAAGAAGAGGUCGUGGCUAUAUUCGGCAAGGUCAUCAAAGAGCCUGGAGUCAGCGCUCAUCAUCAUCAUCAUCAUCAUCAUGCUGUUUGGUUCAGUUCAGCUGUCCUUGACCCCUCUGCUCUCUUUUCUGGAAGUUUCUGUGAUUUGCUGCGCCGUGCGGUUCAUCGAAUCCCUCAGAGAGCCUUUCACCUGUCUCCUAACAGCUCCCAGAAUGCAGCGCUGUGCAGGACGACACACGCCUGGCAAUUAGUGGAAUGGAAACUGGAGUGCUCUUCUGAGAGCUGAAAUAAUUGGAUGUUAGAGCUCAUGGAAACGCAAAAAGACAAGAAUAAGAGUCGGAGGAUGUGAAGAACAAACUUUUGGUGCGAUGUAAACACUAGAUGACACUUGUUGAUGGAGGGCAGCAGAUUCUGGAUUUAGAAGAAAACCUUUAUCGAGUCCCACCGCCCUUGAAACGGAUGACAUCGAUUGGACAGCCAGAAGAUUCCCGACCCCUCCUGCCCUGGAGGACGAUCAAUGGACCCGCGGGCCGCUCCCGGAACAUCAGCAGAGGAUUAAACAAUCUCCCAGCACAACACAAUUAACUCCACAACACCUCACAUCAAUAUUUAAGAGCAAACUACAGAUAGCACAGAGAAAAAAAAUGCUUCGAAUUUUGUAUAUCGCAUGGCAAUAUUAAAGCAAUAGUUCACCCAAAAAUUACAAUUUGCUGGAAAUCUGCUCACUAUCAGGCCAUCCAAGAUGUAGAUGAGUUUGUUUCUUCAUCAGAACAGAUUUGGAUCCAUUGAAGUGAAUAGGUGCCGUCAGAAUCUGAAUGUUUAAACAUUCAGAUGUCACCCCCUUUCUAAUCAUUAACUUUCAUAUUUAACUGUAGUUUAAUUACACAUUUUUUUCUCAGUAACUGUGACUACAAUUACAUUUUUUUUUAAUUAAAUUAAGUAACUCUGUUACAUGUAACUAGUUACUCCCAACACUGAGUAUAAUGUAAAAAUAGUGUUGAUAGACUGUUACAUCUAUCAUUUUACAAGAUUGAGAACAGCAAAAAACGUACAAAUAACAGCAAAGAGUGUGUCUGUGUGAGCUGGUCUUGAUCUGUGGUGUGUGUGUAAACGCCGGCAGGUUUAAACAAAGGUAAAAUUGAGAAAAAACGCUUUUGACAGAUCAGAAAGAGAACCCCCUUUGUUUUCCACCAGGAUCAAAUGAGUGCUCUUGAAAGACCAGCAGACUGUGUUUUAUUAAGUAGGGCUCCAGAGCAGCACUGCUUCUCUCCAAAGUGCUAUUCUCUCCUAAUAGAGAACUGAAAGCCGCUGCGACCUCUAAGUUAACCUCCGCUGAGACAUAGCGCUCCACAGAUGCUCCCAGAAUGGAUAUUUCACCUUGUUGUUUACCCCUUUGCAGAUUUACAGUACAUGGACUGUGUGUGUGCAGUCACCUAUAACCUCUACUGCGAACAUGCGUUUGGUUGGCGAGAUGUUUGUCUGUGAAUGUCGACAGGUUUUGCUAUUCUUUUGGGGUUUGCUUAAGGAUAUAGAAACAGUAUUGAGUGUUAGUAAAUUCUCAGAGCUUAACUGCGGUUUUUGGUUUCUACAUUGGUUUAGCAUCCAUACCAGGGAACUACACUGAAUGCAUCUCUAGCGUAUAACACCCUUGAGGUUUGAAUCAGGAUUUUUAAAUGAGUAUAGCUGCACUGUCUGCUCAUUUAUUCCCUUUAAUCUGCGUCCUUUGGGUGUUAGUAUGUGCACGAGGGUGCACUGCUAUGAGCCUACUAAGUAAGCUGGGUUAUUGUUGAUAACUAAAACUAGAACUAUAAAAUGUUACUUGAAAUACAAUUACAACUUAUUUUAUUUCAGCUAGUUUUCCAAGGCAACAUUUCUUAUUUUCAUUUAGUUUCGAAGGAAUAGUUCACCC